GAUCACAAAAAACCUUAAAAAACAAGAAUAAAAGCAAUCUUUUCAUCUGCAUAACGAUUGUCUUGUUUGAUUUUCAAAAAGCUUUUCAUAUCAAAAUCAUUAUGCAGGUUGUUUCUUAAACCCAUUGAACAUAAUGAUCGGACGUCAUCUCCCAAUUUUGAAUUCCCUGUAUUCGAAGCGGAAGAAGAUGAUGAUUGAAGGGAUUCCUGACGAGAUUUCCCGACUUCUUGAGCAAGAAAAGAAGAUCACACUCAGCUGCAUCUCGAGAAUCAGCAGAACAGCCAACUGGGG
This 291-nucleotide long non-coding RNA is filed under the name Lathyrus oleraceus (garden pea). RNAcentral describes it as "Pisum sativum (pea) long non-coding RNA (PSAT_LNC027831)". The record is from RNAcentral. Lineage: Eukaryota; Viridiplantae; Streptophyta; Magnoliopsida; Fabales; Fabaceae.